RNAcentral lists this ribosomal RNA (253 nucleotides) under uncultured microorganism. Its description in RNAcentral is "partial 16S ribosomal RNA". It matches the Rfam family "Bacterial small subunit ribosomal RNA", at positions 524 to 776 of the family's 1533-position model. The record is from RNAcentral.
UACGGAGGGUGCGAGCGUUAAUCGGAAUUACUGGGCGUAAAGCGUACGUAGGCGGCUUGUUAAGCAAGAUGUGAAAUCCCCGGGCUCAACCUGGGAAUGGCAUUUUGAACUGGCAGGCUCGAGUUCUGAAGAGGGUGGUAGAAUUUCCAGUGUAGCGGUGAAAUGCGUAGAUAUUGGAAGGAAUACCGGUGGCGAAGGCGGCCACCUGGUCAGAAACUGACGCUGAGGUACGAAAGCGUGGGGAGCAAACAGG